GCUGCCUUAACAUGCAAGUCGAACGGCAGCACGGGAGCAAUCCUGGUGGCGAGUGGCGAACGGGUGAGUAAUAUAUCGGAACGUGCCCAGUCGUGGGGGAUAACGUAAAGAAAUUUACGCUAAUACCGCAUACGAUCUAAGGAUGAAAGCGGGGGACUUCGCAAGAGGCCUCGCGCGACUGGAGCGGCUGAUAUCAGAUUAGGUUGUUGGUGAGGCAAAAGCUCACCAAGCCGACGAUCUGUAGCUGGUUUGAGAGAACGACCAGCCACACUGGGACUGAGACACGGCCCAAACUCCUACGGGAGGCAGCAGUGGGGAAUUUUGGACAAUGGGCGAAAGCCUGAUCCAGCAAUGCCGCGUGCAGGAAGAAGGCCUUCGGGUUGUAAACUGCUUUUGUACGGAACGAAAAGGUCUGCCUUAAUACGGUGGGCCCAUGACGGUACCGUAAGAAUAAGCACCGGCUAACUACGUGCCAGCAGCCGCGGUAAUACGUAGGGUGCGAGCGUUAAUCGGAAUUACUGGGCGUAAAGCGUGCGCAGGCGGUGAUGUAAGACAGUUGUGAAAUCCCCGGGCUCAACCUGGGAAUUGCAUCUGUGACUGCAUCGCUAGAGUACGGUAGAGGGGGAUGGAAUUCCGCGUGUAGCAGUGAAAUGCGUAGAUAUGCGGAGGAACACCGAUGGCGAAGGCAAUCCCCUGGACCUGUACUGACGCUCAUGC
RNAcentral lists this ribosomal RNA (717 nucleotides) under uncultured bacterium. RNAcentral's name for it is "bacterial SSU rRNA". It matches the Rfam family "Bacterial small subunit ribosomal RNA", at positions 42 to 752 of the family's 1533-position model. The record is from RNAcentral.